This is a long non-coding RNA of Gasterosteus aculeatus aculeatus (three-spined stickleback), 1474 nucleotides long. NCBI's taxonomy places the organism in Eukaryota, Metazoa, Chordata, Actinopteri, Perciformes, Gasterosteidae. The record is from Ensembl.
AAUAAACAGACGACAUAUUUAACAAUAAUAAUAACACAAUCAUUGGGAAAACAUCUGAAGCAGUUCCUGAGAAGAGAGAAAAGAAGAAAAGUUAUUAACAUGUUAAUGUUGUUAGUGUGUCUGUGUGUACAUCUAAUUGUUAGUGUGUCUGUGUGUACAUCUAAAUGUUAGUGUGUCUGUGUGUACAUCUAAAUAUUAUUAUGUCUUUGUGUACAUCUAAAUAUUAGUGUGUGUCUUUGUUUAGUACCAAAUGUUAGUGUGUCUGUGUGUACAUCUAAAUGUUAGUGUGUCCCGAUGACGUGGCGUCCUGAUGGCGUCCUGUUGGUCUGCAGACAAGGAGAAGAGACGUGAGGAGGAUCAUCAGGAUGUGUCCGUGUGUACAUCUAAUUGUUAUUGUGUCUUUGUGUACAUCUAAAUAUUAGUGUGUGUCUUUGUUUAGAACCAAAUGAUAGUGUGUCUGUGUGUAUAUCUAAUUGUUAUUGUGUCUUUGUGUACAUCUAAAUAUUAGUGUGUCAUUGUUUAGAACCAAAUGAUAGUGUGUCUGUGUGUACAUCUAAUUGUUAUUGUGUCUUUGUGUACAUCUAAAUAUUAGUGUGUGUCAUUGUUUAGAACCAAAUGAUAGUGUGUCUGUGUGUACAUCUAAUUGUUAGUGUGUGUCUUUGUUUAGAACCAAAUGUUAAUGUGUCUGUGAGUACAUCUGUGUGUGUGUGUGUGUGUGUGUGUGUGUGUGUUAGAUCUGGAUUUGCUCCUGAGGGGUUGACGCGGCGUCCUGAUGGCGUCCUGAUGGAAUCCUGAUGGCGUCCCGAUGACGUGGCGUCCUGAUGGUGUCCUGAUGACGUGGCGUCCUGAUGGCGUCCUGUUGGUCUGCAGACAAGGAGAAGAGACGUGAGGAUGGUCAUCAGCACGUGUCAGUGUGUACAUCUAAUUGUUAGUGUGUCUGUGUGUAGAUCUAAUUGUUAGUGUGUCCGUGUGUACAUCUAAUUGUUAGUGUGUCUGUGUGUAGAUCUAAUUGUUAGUGUGUCUGUGUGUACAUCUAAAUAUUAAUGUGUCUUUGUGUACAUCUAAAUGUUAGUGUGUGUCUUUGUUUAGAACCAAAUGUUAGUGUGUCUGUGUGUACAUCUAAUUGUUAGUGUGUCUGUGUGUGGAUCUAAUUGUUAGUGUCUGUGUGUACAUCUAAUUGUUAUGUCUUUGUGUACAUCUAAUAAAGUGUAUCUAAGUGUAUGUCAUGCGUAGAUCUGGAUUUGCUCCUGAGGGGUUGACGUGGCGUCUGAUGGCGUCCCGUUGGUCUGCAGACAAGGAGAAGAGACGUGAGCAGGAUCAUCAGGAUGUGAGACAAGAUUCAUAGAUCCAAUUAUUUUAAUUUGAUGCACAUUUUAAUUAUUUCAUGUUUGUAUGGAUGUGUAAAUCUACAUUAUAUAUUUGUGGUUGUUAAACUGUAUUUCUGUAUUUGCUUUUUAUGUUUAGCUAGUCUCUG